CCUACGGGAGGCAGCAGUGAGGAAUAUUGGUCAAUGGGCGGAAGCCUGAACCAGCCAAGUCGCGUGAGGGAUGAAGGCCCUAUGGGUUGUAAACCUCUUUUGUCAGGGAGCAAGGCCGUCCACGUGUGGCCGGAUGGAGAGUACCUGAAGAAAAAGCAUCGGCUAACUCCGUGCCAGCAGCCGCGGUAAUACGGAGGAUGCGAGCGUUAUCCGGAUGUAUUGGGUUUAAGGGGGGCGUAGGCGGGGCUUUAAGUCAGCGGUAAAAUUGCGGUGCUCAACGCCGUAGAGCCGUUGAAACUGGGGAUCUUGAGUUGGCGAGAAGUAUGCGGAAUGCGUGGUGUAGCGGUGAAAUGCAUAGAUAUCACGCAGAACCCCGAUUGCGAAUGCAGCAUACCGGCGCUCAACUGACGCUGAGGCACGAAAGUGCGGGUAUCGAACAGGAUUAGAUACCCCUGUAGUC
Molecule: ribosomal RNA, 460 nt
Filed under: uncultured bacterium
Lineage: Bacteria
Description: partial 16S ribosomal RNA
Rfam family: Bacterial small subunit ribosomal RNA
Source: RNAcentral